Molecule: ribosomal RNA, 253 nt
Filed under: uncultured bacterium
Lineage: Bacteria
Description: partial 16S ribosomal RNA
Rfam family: Bacterial small subunit ribosomal RNA
Source: RNAcentral
UACGUAGGGUGCGAGCGUUAAUCGGAAUUACUGGGCGUAAAGCGUGCGCAGGCGGUUUUCCAAGUCCGAUGUGAAAGCCCCGGGCUUAACCUGGGAAUGGCAUGGGAAACUGGCGGGCUGGAGUGUGGCAGAGGGGGGUGGAAUUCCGCGUGUAGCAGUGAAAUGCGUAGAGAUGCGGAGGAACACCGAUGGCGAAGGCAGCCCCCUGGGCCAACACUGACGCUCAGGCACGAAAGCGUGGGGAGCAAACAGG